RNAcentral lists this ribosomal RNA (449 nucleotides) under uncultured SAR86 cluster bacterium. Its description in RNAcentral is "bacterial SSU rRNA". It matches the Rfam family "Bacterial small subunit ribosomal RNA", at positions 30 to 473 of the family's 1533-position model. Lineage: Bacteria; Pseudomonadati; Pseudomonadota; Gammaproteobacteria. The record is from RNAcentral.
AUUGAACGCUGGCGGUAGGCUUAACACAUGCAAGUCGUGCGAGAAAGUAUCUUCGGAUAUGAGUAGAGCGGCGGACGGGUGAGUAACGCGUAGGAAUCUACCUAGUAGAAGGGGAUAGCCCGAGGAAACUCGGAUUAAUACCGUAUACCUCCUUAGGGAGAAAGAGGGCCUCUCUUGAUGCUCUCGCUAUUAGAUGGGCCUGCGUAAGAUUAGCUUGUUGGUGAGGUAAUGGCUCACCAAGGCUACGAUCUUUAGCUGGUCUGAGAGGACGAUCAGCCACAUUGGGACUGAGACACGGCCCAGACUCCUACGGGAGGCAGCAGUGGGGAAUAUUGGACAAUGGGCGCAAGCCUGAUCCAGCCAUACCGCGUGUGUGAAGAAGGCCUUCGGGUUGUAAAGCACUUUAAGCAGGGAGAAAAAGUUAUAAGUUAAUACCUUAUAAACCGUGA